GGAGAACGAUUGGCAGUUUUUUAAAGGUGGCUUACUGUCUUUUUUUAUUUUUUUAUUUUUUAUUUAUUUACGAUUUUAAAAAAGGGAGAAGGUGAUACCAUUGCGAAUUUUAUUUAUUUUUUUAGCCCUAAUAAAGUGACGCGUUUCAAAGGAUGGAGAUAUUUUCCCAUUCGAGCCCUAUGAGUUAUUCGCGCCUUUUAAUUGGGCCUUCAUUUUUU
This 218-nucleotide long non-coding RNA is filed under the name Gossypium raimondii (Peruvian cotton). RNAcentral describes it as "long non-coding RNA (GRAI_LNC002064)". Lineage: Eukaryota; Viridiplantae; Streptophyta; Magnoliopsida; Malvales; Malvaceae. The record is from RNAcentral.